GAUGAAGAACGUAGCGAAAUGCGAUACGUAAUGUGAAUUGCAAAUUCAGUGAAUCAUCGAGUCUUUGAACGCACAUUGCGCCCCCUGGUAUUCCGGGGGGCAUGCCUGUCCGAGCGUCAUUGCUGCCCUCAAGCACGGCUUGUGUGUUGGGCCCCGUCCUCCGAUCCCGGGGGACGGGCCCGAAAGGCAGCGGCGGCACCGCGUCCGGUCCUCGAGCGUAUGGGGCUUUGUCACCCGCUCUGUAGGCCCGGCCGGCGCUUGCCGAUCAACCCAAAUUUUUAUCCAGGUUGACCUCGGAUCACGUAGGGAUACCCGCUGAACUUAAGCAUAUCAUAAGCGGAGGA
Molecule: unclassified non-coding RNA, 344 nt
Filed under: soil metagenome
Description: partial contains 5.8S ribosomal RNA, internal transcribed spacer 2, and large subunit ribosomal RNA
Rfam family: 5.8S ribosomal RNA (bases 1-119)
Source: RNAcentral